RNAcentral lists this unclassified non-coding RNA (337 nucleotides) under soil metagenome. Its description in RNAcentral is "partial contains 5.8S ribosomal RNA, internal transcribed spacer 2, and large subunit ribosomal RNA". The stretch from base 1 to 120 matches the Rfam family "5.8S ribosomal RNA", at positions 35 to 154 of the family's 154-position model. The record is from RNAcentral.
GAUGAAGAACGCAGCGAAAUGCGAUAAGUAGUGUGAAUUGCUGAAUUCAGUGAAUCAUCGAAUCUUUGAACGCACAUUGCGCCCCUUGGUAUUCCAUGGGGCAUGCCUGUUCGAGCGUCAUUUGUACCUUCAAGCUCUGCUUGGUGUUGGGUGUUUGUCUCGCCUCUGCGUGUAGACUCGCCUCAAAACAAUUGGCAGCCGGCGUAUUGAUUUCGGAGCGCAGUACAUCUCGCGCUUUGCACUCAUAACGACGACGUCCAAAAGUACAUUUUUACACUCUUGACCUCGGAUCAGGUAGGGAUACCCGCUGAACUUAAGCAUAUCAAUAAGCGGAGGA